This 1587-nucleotide ribosomal RNA is filed under the name Salmonella enterica. RNAcentral describes it as "partial 23S ribosomal RNA". It matches the Rfam family "Bacterial large subunit ribosomal RNA", at positions 1 to 1495 of the family's 2925-position model. Lineage: Bacteria; Pseudomonadati; Pseudomonadota; Gammaproteobacteria; Enterobacterales; Enterobacteriaceae. The record is from RNAcentral.
GUUAAGCGACUAAGCGUACACGGUGGAUGCCCUGGCAGUCAGAGGCGAUGAAGGGCGUGCUAAUCUGCGAUAAGCGCCGGUAAGGUGAUAUGAACCGUUAUAACCGGCGAUACCCGAAUGGGGAAACCCAGUGUGACUCGUCACACUAUCAUUAACUGAAUCCAUAGGUUAAUGAGGCGAACCGGGGGAACUGAAACAUCUAAGUACCCCGAGGAAAAGAAAUCAACCGAGAUUCCCCCAGUAGCGGCGAGCGAACGGGGAGGAGCCCAGAGCCUGAAUCAGCAUGUGUGUUAGUGGAAGCGUCUGGAAAGGCGCGCGAUACAGGGUGACAGCCCCGUACACAAAAGCGCAUGUGCUGUGAGCUCGAUGAGUAGGGCGGGACACGUGGUAUCCUGUCUGAAUAUGGGGGGACCAUCCUCCAAGGCUAAAUACUCCUGACUGACCGAUAGUGAACCAGUACCGUGAGGGAAAGGCGAAAAGAACCCCGGCGAGGGGAGUGAAAAAGAACCUGAAACCGUGUACGUACAAGCAGUGGGAGCCCCACCACCAAAGCAUUUGCUGUACCGCGUUGACGGAGCGAAGCGACGUCAAACCGAUAAAACAGCAGUGUAAAGUGAGCCGCAGGGCGCUUUGCGCGACAGCGCAAAGGCAGGCGGUUUCGCGUAGCGAAAGCGAAUGCUUUGGGGUGGGGUGACUGCGUACCUUUUGUAUAAUGGGUCAGCGACUUAUAUUCUGUAGCAAGGUUAACCGAAUAGGGGAGCCGGAGGGAAACCGAGUCUUAAUUGGGCGUUAAGUUGCAGGGUAUAGACCCGAAACCCGGUGAUCUAGCCAUGGGCAGGUUGAAGGUUGGGUAACACUAACUGGAGGACCGAACCGACUAAUGUUGAAAAAUUAGCGGAUGACCUGUGGCUGGGGGUGAAAGGCCAAUCAAACCGGGAGAUAGCUGGUUCUCCCCGAAAGCUAUUUAGGUAGCGCCUCGUGAAUUCAUCUCCGGGGGUAGAGCACUGUUUCGGCUAGGGGGCCAUCCCGGCUUACCAACCCGAUGCAAACUGCGAAUACCGGAGAAUGUUAUCACGGGAGACACACGGCGGGUGCUAACGUCCGUCGUGAAGAGGGAAACAACCCAGACCGCCAGCUAAGGUCCCAAAGUCAUGGUUAAGUGGGAAACGAUGUGGGAAGGCCCAGACAGCCAGGAUGUUGGCUUAGAAGCAGCCAUCAUUUAAAGAAAGCGUAAUAGCUCACUGGUCGAGUCGGCCUGCGCGGAAGAUGUAACGGGGCUAAACCAUGCACCGAAGCUGCGGCAGCGACACUGUGUGUUGUUGGGUAGGGGAGCGUUCUGUAAGCCUGUGAAGGUGUGUCGUGAGGCAUGCUGGAGGUAUCAGAAGUGCGAAUGCUGACAUAAGUAACGAUAAAGCGGGUGAAAAGCCCGCUCGCCGGAAGACCAAGGGUUCCUGUCCAACGUUAAUCGGGGCAGGGUGAGUCGACCCCUAAGGCGAGGCCGAAAGGCGUAGUCGAUGGGAAACGGGUUAAUAUUCCCGUACUUGGUGUUACUGCGAAGGGGGGACGGAGAAGGCUAUGUUGGCCGGG